Molecule: ribosomal RNA, 253 nt
Filed under: uncultured bacterium
Lineage: Bacteria
Description: partial 16S ribosomal RNA
Rfam family: Bacterial small subunit ribosomal RNA
Source: RNAcentral
UACGUAGGGGGCGAGCGUUGUCCGGAUUUAUUGGGCGUAAAGAGCUCGUAGGCGGCUAGGUAGGUCCGUUGUGAAAACUCGAGGCUCAACCUCGAGACGUCGAUGGAAACCAUCUAGCUAGAGUCCGGAAGAGGAGAGUGGAAUUCCUGGUGUAGCGGUGAAAUGCGCAGAUAUCAGGAAGAACACCCGUGGCGAAGGCGGCUCUCUGGUACGUGACUGACGCUGAGACGCGAAAGCGUGGGGAGCGAACAGG